This 260-nucleotide ribosomal RNA is filed under the name Ligilactobacillus salivarius. RNAcentral's name for it is "Lactobacillus salivarius partial 16S ribosomal RNA". It matches the Rfam family "Bacterial small subunit ribosomal RNA", at positions 394 to 646 of the family's 1533-position model. The record is from RNAcentral. Lineage: Bacteria; Bacillati; Bacillota; Bacilli; Lactobacillales; Lactobacillaceae.
ACGCCGCGUGAGUGAAGAAGGUCUUCGGAUCGUAAAACUCUGUUGUUAGAGAAGAACACGAGUGAGAGUAACUGUUCAUUCGAUGACGGUAUCUAACCAGCAAGUCACGGCUAACUACGUGCCAGCAGCCGCGGUAAUACGUAGGUGGCAAGCGUUGUCCGGAUUUAUUGGGCGUAAAGGGAACGCAGGCGGUCUUUUAAGUCUGAUGUGAAAGCCUUCGGCUUAACCGGAGUAGUGCAUUGGAAACUGGAAGACUUGAG